AUCGAACGCUGGCGGCAGGCCUAACACAUGCAAGUCGAACGAACCUUUCGGGCUUAGUGCCGGACGGGUGCGUAACGCGUGGUAACGUGCCUUUAGGUUCGGAAUAACUCAGGGAAACUUGUGCUAAUACCGACUGUGCCCUCCGGGGGAAAGUUGUAUAGCCUUUAGAGCGGCCGGCGUCUGCUUAGCUAGUUGGUUGGGUGAAUGGCUCACCAGUGCGACGAGCAGUAGCUGGUCUGUGAGAAUGAUCAGACACACUGGGAGUGAGACACGGCCCAGAAUCUUACGGGAGGCAGGAGAGGGGAAUCCUGCGAAACGGGGGACAGGCUGAAGCCGUCAGGCCGCGUGACUGAUGAAGGUCGUAGGAUAGUAAAAUUCUUUAAUAGGCGACGAUAAUGACGGUACCGGGAGAAGAAGCACCGGCUAACUUCGUG
Molecule: ribosomal RNA, 434 nt
Filed under: uncultured bacterium
Lineage: Bacteria
Description: partial 16S ribosomal RNA
Rfam family: Bacterial small subunit ribosomal RNA
Source: RNAcentral